Molecule: transfer RNA, 71 nt
Filed under: Sphenostylis stenocarpa
Lineage: Eukaryota; Viridiplantae; Streptophyta; Magnoliopsida; Fabales; Fabaceae
Description: tRNA gene-AYBTSS11_LOCUS202
Rfam family: tRNA
About the family: Transfer RNA (tRNA) molecules are approximately 80 nucleotides in length. Their secondary structure includes four short double-helical elements and three loops (D, anti-codon, and T loops).
Source: RNAcentral
GCAUUUGUAGUCCAACGGUAGGAUAAUUGCCUUCCAAGUAAUAGACCCGGGUUCGACUCCCGGCAAACGCA